RNAcentral lists this long non-coding RNA (1108 nucleotides) under Macaca fascicularis (crab-eating macaque). RNAcentral describes it as "lncRNA (ENSMFAG00000058173.1)". Lineage: Eukaryota; Metazoa; Chordata; Mammalia; Primates; Cercopithecidae. The record is from RNAcentral.
CAGGACCCAGGGUGGCUGGGUGGAGGGGCUGUAAAAAAGUCCCCGCUGGUGAUUUGGGGACUAGGGAGGCUCAGGUGUGGGAGCUGAUCACCACCAUUUCUAGGCCCUCAGGAGGGCCCUGUUCAGUGUCUCGGUGUUGCUGGGUGGACCCUGGUGGGGUGACAACAGGGUCCGAGUGUCUGGACUCCAUUCUCUCUGCUUCCUCUGUCCACGUUUUAGGGAUGCCCUAUUCAAUGAGCCCUUUCUCUCUCUCUUUCUUUUUGUUUUUUUUCUUUUUCUAACAGUGUUUCCAGGGAAGGGCUCAUAUUCCCCACACCAGGGGCUGAGAGGGUAGAUGUUUCUGGGUAAAUCAUUUGAAAAUCAAGCAGAUCCAACAUAUUUGCUGUCUCCAAUUAGACUGAGCUCCCUGGGAGGGGCCCCCAAAGGGCUCCUGAAUGGCUCUGUGCUGCCUGGCAUUAGGAGUGAGGGGCAUGGCCUGACAUUGGGAGGACAGGUGUGUGAACAAGUGCAACCUAUGGGGAGGCAAUUUACCCACAGCCCAGCACGGACAGCGGCAGAUCCUCGUGCGCAGCGGUUCUCCUCCGAGGAUUCUUGCUGACUGAGGCACUGGCACAGGGGCACACAGGCAUGUAUGUGCCAAAGGCAUGACCCACGCCGCACGUUGAUUACAGCAGAGACAGAGCAGCCUCAUGUCUGUUGGUGGGGAGUUGUCGAGGACAACCUAGUCCCCAUGAACUGACAGCUCAUGUGCAAAAAGAGUGGUGGCUCCAUCCAGGUGGACACAGAACAGCUUUCAAGAGAAAUCAGAAGGGCCGGACAUGGAGGCUCACGCCUAUAAUUCCAGCACUUUGGGAGACUGAGGCGGGCAGAUCACCUGAGGUCAGGAGUUCAAGACCAGCCCAGCCAACGUGACAAAACCCUGUCUCUACUGAAAAUACAAAAAUUAGCCAGGCGUGGUGAUGGGCACCUGUAAUCCCAGCUACUUGGGUGACUGAGACACGAGAAUCGCUUGAAUCCAGGAGGUGGAGGUUUGCAGUGAGUUGAGAUCGCGCCAGUGCACUCCAAUCUGGAAGACAGAACAAGACUGUGUCUCAAAAACAAAAAAAAA